This 406-nucleotide ribosomal RNA is filed under the name uncultured bacterium. RNAcentral describes it as "partial 16S ribosomal RNA". It matches the Rfam family "Bacterial small subunit ribosomal RNA", at positions 29 to 526 of the family's 1533-position model. The record is from RNAcentral.
AACGAACGCUGGCGGCAGGCCUAACACAUGCAAGUCGAACGAGUAGCGGACGGGUGAGUAAUGGCUGGGAAACUGCCUGACGGAGGGGUCUGACUACUGGAAACGGUAGCUAAUACCGCAUACCAUCUGAUCUGCCCAGAUGGGAUUAGCUAGUAGGUGGGGUAAAGGCUAACCUAGGCGACGAUCCUUACCUGUUCUGAGAGGAUGACCAGGCACACUGGAACUGAGACACGGUCCAGACUCCUACGGGAGGCAGCAGUGGGGAAUAUUGCACAAUGGGCGCAAGUCUGAUGCAGCCAUGCCGCGUGUAUGAAGAAGGCGUUCGGGUUGUAAAGUACUUUCGGCGGGGAGGCGUUACCCGAAGAAGAAGCACCGGAUAACUCCGUGCCAGCAGCCGCGGUAAUAC